RNAcentral lists this ribosomal RNA (253 nucleotides) under uncultured bacterium. RNAcentral describes it as "partial 16S ribosomal RNA". It matches the Rfam family "Bacterial small subunit ribosomal RNA", at positions 524 to 776 of the family's 1533-position model. The record is from RNAcentral.
UACGGGGGGAGCAAGCGUUGUUCGGAAUUACUGGGCGUAAAGCGCACGUAGGCGGAUUUGUAAGUCAGGGGUGAAAUCCCGGGGCUCAACCCCGGAACUGCCUUUGAUACUGCGAAUCUCGAGUCCGGAAGAGGUGAGUGGAAUUCCUAGUGUAGAGGUGAAAUUCGUAGAUAUUAGGAAGAACACCAGUGGCGAAGGCGGCUCACUGGUCCGGUACUGACGCUGAGGUGCGAAAGCGUGGGGAGCAAACAGG